CCAUGUAUAAUGUGAUCCGAUGCCC
This 25-nucleotide non-coding RNA is filed under the name Rattus norvegicus (Norway rat). Lineage: Eukaryota; Metazoa; Chordata; Mammalia; Rodentia; Muridae. The record is from RNAcentral.